CCCUUAGAUGUUCUGGGCCGCACGCGCGCUACACUGAAGGGAUCAGCGUGUUUUCCCUUCCCGAGAGGGACGGGUAACCCGCUGAACCCCCUUCGUGGUAGGGAUCGGAGCUUGCAAUUGUUCUCCGUGAACCAGGAAUUCCCAGUAAGCGCAAGUCAUAAGCUUGCGUUGAUUACGUCCCUGCCCUUUGUACACACCGCCCGUCGCUACUACCGAUUGAACGUUUUAGUGAGGUAUUUGGACUCGGCCUUGGGAGGUUUCGGCCUCCCUUGUUGCUCGGAAAGACUCCCAAACUUGAGCGUUUAGAGGAAGUAAAAGUCGUAACA
This 326-nucleotide ribosomal RNA is filed under the name uncultured eukaryote. RNAcentral's name for it is "partial 18S ribosomal RNA". It matches the Rfam family "Eukaryotic small subunit ribosomal RNA", at positions 1470 to 1796 of the family's 1831-position model. The record is from RNAcentral.